This 228-nucleotide ribosomal RNA is filed under the name uncultured bacterium. Its description in RNAcentral is "partial 16S ribosomal RNA". It matches the Rfam family "Bacterial small subunit ribosomal RNA", at positions 526 to 779 of the family's 1533-position model. The record is from RNAcentral.
CAAGUAAGACUAGUGUUAUUCAUCUUAAUUAGGUUUAAAGGGUACCUAGACAGUAUUUCUAGCCUCCAAAGGGAACAGAUUUACUAGAGUUUAUGUGAGAGGAAAAUAUUAGAACCAUUGGAGUAGUGAUAAAAAUGUUUUGAUACUAAAUGGGACGGAUAACGGCGAAGGCAAACCUCUAUGUAAUAACUGACGUUGAGGACGAAGGCUUGGGUAGCGAAUAGGAUU